AAAAAGCAACUGGCGUAUCCGCGCUCAAGGAAAAAAAAAGCAACUGGCGUGUCCCUUGUUCUCCUCAGAUCUGGCGCAUCCAAGGCUCGCCGGCGGUUAGGCCGGCUAACUUUCGACGUCGCUACUUUACUCACAUAUGGAGGAUGCUGCUCGCCGGCGUCCCAAGGUUCCGGUGCCCGAUGUAGUCGAUGUCACUACCUUCGGCAAAACGUCGGCUCCCUCCCGCACCGGCAAGCUAGGUGUUCAAGUCAUCGGCGACGGUGCAACCGUGAAUCCAUCCCCGCCCAAGGAAGGUGGAAGGCACCUGAUAUACGAGGAACUGAACGUUAGGGAAAUAUUCAAUGGAUGAUGUUUUGCAAGUGCAACGAAUACAUGUUCAUAUCAUUCAGUGUUGAAUCAAUACAAGGAUUCACAGGACAGAACUAAUUCAAUUGACAUGUUAUAACAUGUUUUUUCAGAGAAAUAAUGUGGAAGAGGAAUGUGUAAGGAAAGCUUUCAUAUUGUUGUAGAAGAAAUAUCCAUGGAAGCUGUGAAAGUUGGGAAUCUGGUGUACAAUUAGCUAUAGGGCUUUAGACUCAUUUCAACUGAGAAAUUGAAUCUUCUUAGAUCGAUUCAGCUUCCAGAUAGUUAGAAUUAGAAGUUUAUUUUUCAGUGACAUGCACAUUAUUGUAUAUUAAUGUACAGUUCAGCUGUAAA
Molecule: long non-coding RNA, 696 nt
Organism: Triticum aestivum (bread wheat)
Lineage: Eukaryota; Viridiplantae; Streptophyta; Magnoliopsida; Poales; Poaceae
Exons: 3
Source: RefSeq, a predicted model, not a curated record